Molecule: ribosomal RNA, 317 nt
Filed under: Sphaerotilus natans
Lineage: Bacteria; Pseudomonadati; Pseudomonadota; Betaproteobacteria; Burkholderiales; Sphaerotilaceae
Description: bacterial SSU rRNA
Rfam family: Bacterial small subunit ribosomal RNA
Source: RNAcentral
AGAGUUUGAUCAUGGCUCAGAUUGAACGCUGGCGGUAUGCCUUACACAUGCAAGUCGAACGGUAGAGGAGCAAUCCUCGAGAGUGGCGAACGGGUGAGUAAUACAUCGGAACGUGCCCAGUCGUGGGGGAUAACGUAGCGAAAGCUACGCUAAUACCGCAUACGACCCGAGGGUGAAAGCGGGGGACUCGCAAGAGCCUCGCGCGAUUGGAGCGGCCGAUGGCAGAUUAGGUAGUUGGUGGGGUAAAGGCCCACCAAGCCUGCGAUCUGUAGCUGGUCUGAGAGGACGACCAGCCACACUGGGACUGAGACACGGCC